Molecule: small nuclear RNA, 140 nt
Organism: Chelonoidis abingdonii (Abingdon island giant tortoise)
Lineage: Eukaryota; Metazoa; Chordata; Testudines; Testudinidae
Gene: U4
Rfam family: U4 spliceosomal RNA
About the family: U4 small nuclear RNA (U4 snRNA) is a component of the major U2-dependent spliceosome. The structure of U4 snRNA from yeast and human has been reported.
Source: Ensembl
UGCUUUGCGCAGUGGCAGUAUCGUAGCCAAUGAGGUUAAUCCGAGGCGCGAUUAUUGCUAAUUGAAAUCUUUUUAUUGGACCAAAUUCUGUUGAAAGAGACAAGCUUUGGAGCCACACAGACCUGAAGAAGACCUCUGUG